GCCGGGAUAGCUCAGUUGGUAGAGCAGGGGACUGAAAAUCCUCGUGUCACCAGUAGAAUG
RNAcentral lists this transfer RNA (60 nucleotides) under Frullania rostrata. RNAcentral's name for it is "partial tRNA-Phe". It matches the Rfam family "tRNA", at positions 1 to 58 of the family's 71-position model. From Rfam's summary of the family: Transfer RNA (tRNA) molecules are approximately 80 nucleotides in length. Their secondary structure includes four short double-helical elements and three loops (D, anti-codon, and T loops). Lineage: Eukaryota; Viridiplantae; Streptophyta; Jungermanniopsida; Porellales; Frullaniaceae. The record is from RNAcentral.